Molecule: ribosomal RNA, 110 nt
Filed under: Pseudomonas reinekei
Lineage: Bacteria; Pseudomonadati; Pseudomonadota; Gammaproteobacteria; Pseudomonadales; Pseudomonadaceae
Description: partial 16S ribosomal RNA
Rfam family: Bacterial small subunit ribosomal RNA
Source: RNAcentral
AGUAGCUAGUCUAACCUUCGGGAGGACGGUUACCACGGUGUGAUUCAUGACUGGGGUGAAGUCGUAACAAGGUAGCCGUAGGGGAACCUGCGGCUGGAUCACCUCCUUAA